This 2264-nucleotide ribosomal RNA is filed under the name marine metagenome. Its description in RNAcentral is "bacterial LSU rRNA". It matches the Rfam family "Bacterial large subunit ribosomal RNA", at positions 3 to 2252 of the family's 2925-position model. The record is from RNAcentral.
UCAAGCUACUAAGGGCACAUAACGGAUGCCUUGGCUCUGAUAGGCGAUGAAGGACGCGUCAAGCAGCGAUAAACCCCGGGGAGUGGCAAUAACACUUUGAUCCGGGGGUUUCCGAAUGGGGAAACCCAGCAGAAGUAAUGUUCUGUUAUCCUUAACUGAAUACAUAGGUUAAGGAAGCGAUACCCAGGGAAGUGAAACAUCUCAGUACCUGGAGGAAAAGAAAUCAAUUGAGAUUCCGCAAGUAGUGGCGAGCGAACGCGGAACAGCCUAAACCACUGUGUUUACACGGUGGUGUUGCGGGACCCGGAUACGGUAUAACAAAGGUUAGUCGAAUGUUUUGGAAUGUUCAACCACAGAAGGUGAAAGUCCUGUAAACGAAAACCUGAGUUAACCCACGGGUAUCCCAAGUAGGGCGGAACACGUGAAACUCCGUCUGAAACUGGGGGGCCCACCCUCCAAGGCUAAAUACUAAUCAGAGACCGACAGCGCAUAGUACCGUGAGGGAAAGGUGAAAAAGUACCCCGAGAGGGGAGUGAAAAGUACCUGAAAUUAUGUGCCUACAAAGUGUAGGAGCUGGAAUUUAUUCUGGUGACUGCAUGCCUUUUGCAUAAUGAGUCUGCGACUUACUCCUAUAUGGCAAGGUUAAGCCUUGGGCGCAGCCGCAGCGAAAGCGAGUGUUAAUAGCGCGUUUAGUCAUAUGGGGUAGACCCGAAACCAAGUGAUCUAUCCAUGGUCAGGUUGAACCCUCUGUAACAGGAGGUGGAGGACCGAACCAGUACAUGUUGAAAAAUGUUUGGAUGAACUGUGGAUAGGGGUGAAAGGCCAAUCAAACUUGGUGAUAGCUGGUUCUUUUCGAAAUAGCUUUAGGGCUAGCCUUGCGUAAUAGUUAUCGGGGGUAGAGCUCUGAUUGUUCACGGGCCCUUACCGGGGUACCAACAACUAUCAAACUACGAAUACCGGUAACCGUAUCGCAGGAGUCAGACUGUGGGGGCUAAGCUCCAUAGUCGAAAGGGAAACAGCCCAGACUGCCGUCUAAGGUCCCUAAUCUAAACUAAGUGGAUUGAAGGAGGUGGAGUUGCGUAAACAGCCAGGAUGUUGGCUCAGAGGCAGCCAUCAUUUAAAGAGUGCGUAAUAGCUCACUGGUCGAGUGAUUCUGCGCCGAAGAUGAUCGGGACUAAAGUUUAGAACCGAAGACGCAGGUGUACAAUUUAUUGUACGCGGUAGAAAAGCGUUGUAUACGGGGUGAAGUCGAAGCGGAAGCGACGGUGGACCGUAUACAAGUGACCAUGCAGACAUGAGUAGCGAAAAACCAGGUGAGAAUCCUGGUCACCGAAAGCCUAAGGUUUCCUGGGGAAGGUUCGUCCGCCCAGGGUUAGUCAGCCCCUAAGGCGAGGCCGAAAGGCGUAGUCGAUGGACAAAAGGUUAAUAUUCCUUUACCACCUUAUCUGAGCGAUGGAGGGACGCAGUAAGCUAAGUCAGCUGCCGAUUGAAUGUGGCAGUCUAAGGUCGUAGGGCGUUAGGUAGGCAAAUCCGCCUAACAUUAAGCCUGAGAACCGGGGACACGGAGUCUACGGACAAAGUGGAUUGGCUGAUGCUACACUGACGAGAAAAGCUUCUAAGUGUUGAAGAUAGGGUGACUGUACCACAAACCGACACAGGUAGGCGAGGCGAGAAGCCUAAGGUGCGCGAGAGAAACCACGUUAAGGAACUCGGCAAAUUAGCCCCGUAACUUCGGGAGAAGGGGUGCCACAUGAGGUGAAGAGACUUGCUCUCGGAGCUAAAAGUGGUUGCAACAAAGAGGCUCGGGCGACUGUUUAGCAAAAACAUAGCACUCUGCUAACUCGCAAGAGGAUGUAUAGGGUGUGACACGUGACCAAUGCCGAAAGGUUAAAUGGAGAGGUUAGCGUAAGCGAAGCUUUGAAAUGAAGCCCCGGUGAAUGUCGGCCGUAACUAUAACGGUCCUAAGGUAGCGAAAUUCCUUGUCGGGUAAGUUCCGACCUGCACGAGUCGUGUAACGAUCUGGGCGCUGUCUCAACGAGGAUCUCGGUGAAGUUGUAAUUCCGGUGAAGAUGCCGGAUACCCGCAGUAGGACGGAAAGACCCCGUGCACCUUUACUGUAUUCUGAUACUGGCUUUUGUUUUAGCACGUGUAUCAUAGCUGGGAGGCUUUGAAGCCCUGUCGUCAGGUAGGGUGGAGCCAUCAGUGAAAUACCAGUCUUGUUAAUGUGGAAGUCUAACCCUAGCCCGUGAAUCCGGUUGGGGGAC